GAUGAAGAACGCAGCGAAAUGCGAUAAGUAAUGUGAAUUGCAGAAUUCAGUGAAUCAUCGAAUCUUUGAACGCACAUUGCGCCCUCUGGUAUUCCGGGGGGCAUGCCUGUCCGAGCGUCAUUACAACCCUCAAGCUCAGCUUGGUGUUGGGCCCCGCCGCCCCGGCGGGCCCUAAAGUCAGUGGCGGUGCCGUCCGGCUCCGAGCGUAGUAAUUCUUCUCGCUCUGGAGGUCCGGUCGUGUGCUCGCCAGCAACCCCCAAUUUUUUUCAGGUUGACCUCGGAUCAGGUAGGGAUACCCGCUGAACUUAAGCAUAUCAAUAAGCGGAGGA
This 329-nucleotide unclassified non-coding RNA is filed under the name soil metagenome. RNAcentral's name for it is "partial contains 5.8S ribosomal RNA, internal transcribed spacer 2, and large subunit ribosomal RNA". The stretch from base 1 to 120 matches the Rfam family "5.8S ribosomal RNA", at positions 35 to 154 of the family's 154-position model. The record is from RNAcentral.